GGCUUAUGGUGGAUACCUAGGCACCCAGAGACGAGGAAGGGCGUAGAAAGCGACGAAAUGCUUCGGGGAGUUGAAAAUAAGCAUAGAUCCGAGGAUUCCCGAAUAGGUCAACCUUUCGAACUGCUGCUGAAUUCACGGGCAGGCAAGAGACGACCUGGCGAACUGAAACAUCUUAGUAGCUAGAGGAAAAGAAAGCAAAAGCGAUUCCCGUAGUAGCGGCGAGCGAAAUGGGAACAGCCUAAACCGUGAAAACGGGGUUGUGGGAGAGCAAUACAAGCGCCGUGCUGCUAGGCGAAGCAAUCGAAUCUUGCACCCUAGAUGGUGAAAGUCCAGUAGCCGAAAGCAUCACUAGCUUAUGCUCUAACCCGAGUAGCAUGGGGCACGUGGAAUCCCGUGGGAAUCAGCAAGGACCACCUUGCAAGGCUAAAUACUCCUGGGUGACCGAUAGUGAAGUAGUACCGUGAGGGAAAGGUGAAAAGAACCCCCAUCCGGGAGUGAAAUAGAACAUGAAACCGUAAGCU
This 521-nucleotide non-coding RNA is filed under the name Cicer arietinum (chickpea). Its description in RNAcentral is "Bacterial large subunit ribosomal RNA". It matches the Rfam family "Bacterial large subunit ribosomal RNA", at positions 16 to 564 of the family's 2925-position model. Lineage: Eukaryota; Viridiplantae; Streptophyta; Magnoliopsida; Fabales; Fabaceae. The record is from Rfam by way of RNAcentral.